Mugil cephalus (flathead mullet) is the source of this 2049-nucleotide long non-coding RNA. RefSeq lists it as uncharacterized. The record is from RefSeq and is a predicted model, not a curated record. The transcript is spliced from 2 exons. Lineage: Eukaryota; Metazoa; Chordata; Actinopteri; Mugiliformes; Mugilidae.
UGUUGAGCACAUGCUGCAAGUCGUCGAGCUGGAGGGAGAGAAGGGCGCUUUGGUGGUGACUUCACUGACACCAACAACUUCCUGACGCAACGCUACUGUAACAGCGGCGGGGAAACAGGGAGCUCACCUUUUUAUCCGAUGAACCAACACGAUCCUAUUUCUGCAUAGUAAGCCGUCUCAGCUCACCCUCCCCUCUGUUCCAAGAACAGUGACGGGUUCUUUGCAUCAAAGAGUAGUCUGCUCGUGCUUACAUUUUUACAUCAAGGGGGGGAAGUCUCACUCCUUGUACCGUACUUGUUGCAUUGCUUUAGUGUCCUCUUUGUGCUGGAAAGCAGGAAAUCAAAUUACCUGACCUGUACGGAAUGCCCAACAUGUCCUUCCAUCUUUUUUUGUCUGAUGAAAUCCACCCAGAGAAAGUGAACUUUUUCUGCGUUCAAUAAUCUGUGACAAAAAGUAACCUGUCAAGAGGAGCAAUAAAAGGAUGGCAUACAAUCUCAAAUUCAGCCUUGCUCUGCUGCUGAAUUGAACGGCGAGUUCGUUUAAUAGCGAGGAGGUUUUUUGAGUGGACGGCUUUAAGUGUUUACUAUACUCUUUGCUGGUGGUAACGCAUUACUGAGCAUCUCGUUACCGCCCUGUACUAUCCGGGAACGAGCAGAGUUUGAAGUCGAAAGGCGUGUAGGCUGCGUGCGUUCGCGUUUUUGAAGACCGUCUCGUCGAAGUAAGAGAAACCCCGAGAGUUUUACUGACAGCAAAAAGAGGAAGCAUCUAUUCGAUAUGUAGUUCGGAGAAAUUCAAGUUACCGAGCCGGGCUAUGCAAAUGUCCCCGUUCCUCUACGCGCGCACGGGCGCACCGACCUGUAGUAGCCUGAUCUUGGAUAGCCUAUCGGACCCGGGCACCGUGUGCAGUGUGUUUCACUUUGAAGGGAUGCUCGUCGUCCCAGACACGUGAGCUGAGAGAUGAGACGACUUUAUCGCGGAUUUGGAUGGGGGGUUUUCUGUGCGUUAAUGGCCAGCCGUGCGAACUAGGCUAUGGUGCGCUCAGAUGUUUUUUUUUUUCUUUCUCUCUCUCGGUCGCUCUCUGAAUCCACCGCUCCGCCUCCCCCCUUUUCGCAACAUUGACGCAACCAAAAAUACUGGAACAAAAGAAACAACUUCCUUGAAGCUUUGCUGAAACUGCACUUAGUCGGAGAAUGGAAGCUUGUUGUCAACUUGCCUGGAUGGAAACGUCGAGGUGAGGGUGUCACCAGCGGCCGGCUGGCAGCGAGAGAGAUGCAGUCGAAACGCACCCAGGCUAUCGAAUGGAGAGCCUGCUUCCCUGCUAUAGAAGUGGACAACAGACUGAGCGUCUGUAGGUAGAUAAGUGAUAGGUAAAAAGUUUGUAUCUGUAAAUGUGUGAUAAGGAUUAGAAACCUGGAGGAUGAAGAGAGUGCAAAUAAUGCAGAAGAUGAACUAAGUCUCAAGCAGAGAGGCCAUGACUGCAGUUCUGGUGAUGCUGUAGCAGCACGGAAUGGUUUGUGGGUUACACUGAGAUGCAGGCCAUACUGUGCUGCCGCAGUAAAGCUUGAAUAUACAACAUGGUCAUCGCCUCACCAUAACCUCCAUAACAUGUCGUACUCUUUCAGUGAAGAUUAAAGGUCACAUGCCACCACUUUUUUCAUUUUCUACAGUUUUUACAUUCUGAAUUAAUGUCACAUAAAUAAUUGUCUUCCACGUGAUAAAAACUUGGUUGGAUAUCUGCUGGUAGCCUUACUGUAGCAGCACGUAAAUAUUGGAGUUAAAACUCUAGCUGAAGCCUCCAGUAUUGAUCGUGCUGCUGAAGCAAAGCUGACCACUCACAAUCUGCACAACUAACCACCACCGAGUGUACUCAGACCACCCCGGUGGUGCAAACAGUGGCUAUGCUUGAGAGAUGUUUACAUGAGCAAUGUUUACACACGCAUUCUUGGUUAGUCUUCAACACUGUCUUAUAUUGAUGGUUAAAAUGUGUAUAUACCAUUUUAUUACACACUGUUAUGUCUGCAUACUUUGAUAAAUAAAAAUUUGAAUUGA